This is a long non-coding RNA of Strigops habroptila (Kakapo), 539 nucleotides long. RefSeq lists it as uncharacterized. The record is from RefSeq and is a predicted model, not a curated record. The transcript has 2 exons. NCBI's taxonomy places the organism in Eukaryota, Metazoa, Chordata, Aves, Psittaciformes, Psittacidae.
CUUAUUUGUCCUAAUUUGGUUUAGAUGUUGGCUGACAACACUGCUGCUUUCCAGAAUAAAAUGUAAAUGCUGAAUUGGAGUUACAUUUAUGCCAUAAAUCUUUGACUGAGCAAGACAUCUAAAAAGCUGCUGUGAUUCAUACAGGCAUGUCGCAGACAUGGGCAAACCAUGUUGUGCCUCGUUAGUAUAGCAGAACCUGGAGAUCUUCAGACAGCAUCUCUGCAGUGGUAUGCAUGCUUCGGAGGAAGAUGUUCUCACCAUUGGUGAUGCAGAGAAAAGGACAGGGCGCUUUGCAAGGAUGUGCACAGCUUUUGUAGCUGGAAGCUAUUUUGUAUUGAUAGUGUUAUCCUAGAUUUCAGUCCAGAAACUCAAUUAGGUAGUAAAUAACUUACCGCAGAAAGUGCUAAAGCCAGUAAUCCAAUACCAGCCUUUGCUCUGUGUUACUGCCUUGAUCUGACUUGGUGGUAAAUGACAAAAGCAAUAAAGAAGGUGCUCAUCAAUUCUUCAUGGUGUGGAGUGGCUGUGACUGGUGCUCUGCA